CCAUGGCUGGGGGUGGGUGGGAGAUAAAAGAGACGGCUGGACUGACAGCUGCAAAAACAAAGAUCCCCUUGCAUCAGAUUCAGCACAACUUCCCCGCUUUUCUAGCACCCUGACAAAAUCCUGACACAUCUGGGAAGCUGUCAAAGCCGACACGUAUCUUCUUUGCCCGUGGGCUCUGGACGAUGACCAACGGCGGAGUUCCUCUCACCACAAACGUCCGCGAGCAGGCACCGACCCCUCCAGAUGGCCCAGCCCCGGUCUCCAGCCCCCUUCUGGCACCUGGGCUCGGCACAAUCGGAGCAGUUAGAUGUCGCUGCCGGGCAGGACACGGAGACACGGCCCUGCUGCAACUUCCUCGUCUUCCGUAUGAGCCACUCAGCACAACCUGUAAAUAAACAACUCCCAAGAGCACAGCUGAGUUCUUUUUUUAAACCUCCAUGAGAACCACUGUAUCACAGUGGAGGAAUUAUAAGGCAAUAAACUGAAGAACGUGCAAAGAAUACAAGGGGAAAUCUACAAACAAUUUGACUAAAUAUGACUAAAGUGAACGCAUUAAAAACCACCUUAGGAUAAAAAGGAAACGUACUUUUGGAAUUGGCAUGUCAUUAUAUGGAAAUAUAUGCUGUUAUAGGGAAUUGUCAAAAACAAUGUGGCAAACGUAAGCACACUUAAUACACGUGCAUUUUCUGCACCAGGAAACACUCAGAUGUCAAUUCAAAGAAUUGCAAAAUGGUUUGGGGUUUUCUAUAUCAACUCCGUCGCAGGAGGGUGCUGAAAGAGGCAGCAGUAACGUUGGGCGUGCCCAGUGCAGCGGGUUUGGAUGGCCUGCAUCCAUCCAGGUGUUGCAGAAAACAGGGCAAAGUGAUUCCAGAACAAUAAACACUUAUUUCCAUUAGCCCUUAAAAACGCUUAAGGGGUUUUCCCGAAACAGGAAGAAAGGCAAUUUAACAAAAAAUUUCAAGCACGUAACGGCAAGAAAUAGCUAAUUACAAACUUGCCAGAUGAGCACACCACGCUUACUCAAACUAUCACAGCUGCCAAUACUGAAUCCAAAUAAUUAAAAAGGAGGUAAUAUAAUAAAUGCUGAAUGAAUAAGGCUUUAUAAAAAUGACUUCCUGUCAAACUCUUUUUGAGAAAUAUAACACACUUAGUUGUAAAAGCCCUCUAAAACCUUUUAUUUUCUAGAACAUGAAAUAAUUAAAAAUAAGGCAAAUGCAGUAUCGACCUAUGCAGAGUAGCAUGAGAACUGCCUAGCUGAAGCCUCACAGCACAGCAGCACAGGGAAAUCACUGCUGAGUGGGUGCGACCCUGUGGGACCUUCCCAACCCAUCAUGGGCUAUGCACCUGAAUGCCUCUAUCAGUGAUCUGAACAAUAACAUAAGUUGCAGAUAAAUGUCACAGAUAAAGAGAGAGUGUGUGUGUAUGUGUUUUUAUAACUUGCUACAAUCUUCAUUAUAGAUCUAUGGUAAAACAGAGUCCUCCUCAGUAGAAUCCUGUUUAUAAUAUGAAGCCUUGAGAAAACACUUUGCACCUCUGACCUGUGCAAAAGGAUCCCCACCCCCAUCCAUCGCACUUUUGCUGAAUGUCAUUUUGGCUGAUGAAAACAAGGUACAGCAAAGUGGUGCCUAACGCACCACAGGUUGCAGGAAGGAUGGGAUUUCACGGGUGCUCUCCUCUGCCCUGUGUGCAGUGCCAGCCUGCCUCCGUCGCACCUUCCUGCACACAUCCUGGCUGUUGCUUGGGCCUGGAGGACCCUCCUGCUAUCUACUGUGGUGCUCCAGGAGGCUGGCAGCUGACGAUGGCUGGUCACUUAGCCAGGAGGAACUUAGCACACAGCUACUGCUCAUGCUCUAGCACAUUCAGCCUAUAAACCUCUCCUCAAACAAUGCUCAAGUCUCACAAGAAGCCUGAAGCAAGCAGGUUUUUCGCCUUUGCUCACAACAUCUUAGUUACGUAAGGUAGUUUCUUCUUCCUCUUUCUUACAGACAGUUAUAAGAACUACGGAAAAGUACAGAUAACAUGCUAUUUUUGUUUAAUAACUUGCUUGUUUUUCUGAAAGUGUGCCAGUAUUUUCCAGCCAAAGGUAGGGUUUUUUUUUCCUCUUCCACUAAAUGUGUUUUAUAUACCUUUAACUGUUUAAAUUCCCUAUCAGAUCCAAGAAUAAUGUUUUGUUCUUUUCCUUCUACGACUGUAAAGGAGACUUAGACACGCAUCUCUGAAACAAACACAACCAUCCUUCAGAAUAAGGAAAAACACAGAAUUCUGCAAAGUUUUUGCUCAUUCCAGCCCAUUUCAAGACCAAUUGUACCACUGGCCUCGUGGAGGAUGAAAGCUGUCAGGACUCAGGUCUAACCUGCCUAUAGCCCAGCUGGAGAUUCCUCCAUCCGCAACUGGUUUUUGAUCCAUUUCUUUAUCAGGAUAAGAUCCCAGAUCCCAGUCGGUACCGCACAGGCACGAGCAGCACGCCCGCAGGGUCUGCAACAGGCGCCGCUCUCGCCGCACGCAGCUCUCCGCUCCAUUGGCAGAAGGCUAACGUCUGCCUGGUUUCAGGACUUCAGGAAUAUCCCGGGUACCUACAGGCAGAAAAUGCUGAAGCCUGCUGAUUCGUGUUCUUGCAAGCCAGUAACAGCGCUAAAUAAAAGACGAGGCUGUGUAUGCCUCUGUCUCAGAGCUAUGGUAUCUACUAUGUUGUCAGUCCUGUAAGUACUUCCCAGAUUUCUCUUCCGUUCAGUUCCUUGCUAGUAACUUCUCAGACAGACGUAGUAACUCCUUUCACUGCUGCAAAACACUCUUGCCCAAGGAUCUUGAAAAUGCCUGGAUGGUUUCCACAUCAGGAUACCAGAACUACGUACAACUCCUUCAGCUUCCUAGUUACAGCCUGUUACUUACUGCAUUGUAUUUAGCUGUCUCUGGGAAUUCAUUUACAAGGUCAAAUGCUCAGACCUCUUCAACAUAAUAUAAAUCAUUCCUCUGCACUGUGGUUAGUCUGUAUUACGCAGCAUGAACACAUUAAUAAAAGGAGAAAAUUAGGCAAUUAGCAGGUCUUCAGCAUAAACGUGUCACACUUUCUGAAACAUAUUUAAAUAAAACAGUGUUGCUUUAUAGCAUUGAAAACUCAGCACCACUUCCACUGCAAAUGGCCAGACCUCAGAAAAAUCAGCUGGGGGUAACAGGGGACAACCACACUUGCAAAAGAGGGUUGACACCUGUUUUCUCUUUUUCUGCUUACACAAUAAAAGCUACUGUUUUAAUGAGGGCUAAACCUUCCCUAUUACCUUGAUUUUAAUAAUUUACAGGUAUUCUUCUGUAGACUUGUUUUUGUCAGAUCCUGUUUCUCAGGUAGGCCCCCUGAAAAGAAAACAUGUGGGUUUUGUACCAGCUCACUCAGGAAUAGCGGAAUGGUAGCUGGGAGAGCAAGGAGCAAGCUCCCCUGUAGCGACAGCCCUUCACUGCACCAAGCCAAGCUGCUCCACGCUUUACCAUGUGGCAAGUGUAGGGCAGACCGAGCUGACCCUUUACAGGGGCGAAUGGAGAAGGGGCUGGCAGCCAGCCCUGCAUCCUAGAGGGGGGAAGUUCCCAGUUACUGAUAUAAUGUAUCUUUACAUCCGCUUUAUGCACAUGGAGUGAAAUCUCCACUCCAGACAACAUCAAAAUUACCCAACGACCUCAAGUAAAAUCACAGCUCGCUGAAGUGAUUCAAUGAAAGCUGAGAAUCUGGGCCAAAACCUCUACUUCAGAAAGCAGGCUGCCUCCAGGCAGGGGGGUUUCUGAGCACCCCCGAGCUGGGAGAAGCACAUGGGAAACCUGUGGCUGUUAAAGCGGUGGCCUGAGCUGGCACCAGGCUCCCCUGCCCAUCCCAGGGAACCAGAGAUGCAUGUUCUGCUGUUCAUCCCCCUGCGGUCCCCCAUCUGGUCUCCCGCUCCUGCGUGUGAGCUGGCUGACAGCAGGAGAGGCAGCUACCGGGCAGCGCAGAAAGGAUGCCUCUUCCAAAAUACUUGGCUUCCAAGAAGUAUUUCAGAAAUGAUUCAGCUGAAAAAUAUUGCUAACGUCUGAUCUGGAAACUUAACAGACUGCUUUGGACAACAAAUGCCAGUGUAUCCCUUCUUGUUAUGACGACCCCUUUCUAAGCCCAUCAUUUAAUUGCUGAUGAGAACCACGAACAGAAAACAAUCAACUGUAUUUUGAUAGAAAUAUAAGUGCGUCUGUACUACACACUCAUUUCAUUUGCUUCGUGCUCGUAACAAAGCUUGACUAUACAGUGGGCUGUGCAGCUGAACAGAGAUGACUCACUCCUGCAGCUGGCACGAACUACCCAGGCCUCCUGUUUGUUUGUGCAGAUCUGUGGUAGAAGUGGGUAAGUAGGUGAAGACAACGAACAGUGACAUCCCACCACCUCCAAACCUUGCUCAUACCACAACAGCCCCUCUCUACCAGAACUUAGCUCUUGAUCGUCUGCCUGAAGCACAAGCCCUGGUUAAAAGCGCACAGCAGUGCCCCGGAGACAAACACGCAGAGCGCGAUCACUGCAUCCUGUCCUCUCUCUGAAGAGCGUUUGGUGUCACAGAGGAUGCUGAACUGCACCUGAGACUUCAGUGGGUGGGAUAAAACUUUUUUUCACAUCACUGUCCUUCCCCCGCCAAAGCAUUUCAAAGAUCAAGCGAUAUCCACAAAACCUGAGAGUUUGGAGUCUCCGCCACAAGGUGUUGCUUUACCUGAGUGUGUUAGUCUCACUUGUUAGAUGAUAGCCCAAAAAGAGCGGCAUGACAGAGCAAAGCAAACCAGUGGAACUAAAUCCAAAAGACAUAAUACUUCUUACGGUUUCAGAAAUUCUGAACAACCACAGUAUGCUAAAAUAUUUUUUAAAUGUUUCCUUUAGCUUCUCCACACACCCCCCCUUAAUAAAAUUUGUCUUAGCUAACUUUAAAACUAUUAUAAAAACUUUCUUCCUUGAAGGGUGGCUGUCUGGGUGUCACACAACAUCAGAAGUAAAGCCAUCUGGUAUGCCUGUUACUGCCAUCUUCAGAUCAAAGGUUAAAAGCAGAACUGAAGACCUUUUACUCACAUUUAUCUUUUAAGUCCAGUCAUUUCUCUACAGACCUUUCCUCUCUCAUCCUCAUUUAACUCCCAAAUGCAGGAAACAAGUACUACUACUCACAGACUAAAUCGACCAUGCCCUUGUCCAGGGAGUGCCUGAAAAGGUUUGAACGCGUCCUCACCCCCCUCUGGAGAACAUCUAGCCUCUCUAGCACAUUAUCUUAGGAGCUUUUACAGUUCAUCUGUUACACAUUUGACAGUUAGCACUUGCUAUAAACCAAGCUUUGCGAGUAUAAAGCAUAAUCCCAGUAUCAGUAAUAAAAUCCUCAAAGAACAACUACGAGCAAUUAGCCUGAAGAAAAGAGAAAGGAGCACCAGCCAACCUCUGAAGCUAAGCUGCCUGUUGCAAGUUCUGGAUGGAAAGAGUGCUCCGCAAAACUUUUAAAAGAGAUGCAUUUACAAUAUACCAAGUCAGCAAGUCAAAUUUUAAGUGAGCCAGUGCGAUGUGCAAAACAUUUGCUAAAUAAUGCAGCAUUCAGGACCUCAGCACUCGCUGGUCGAGUGCACACACAGAGGACUGGGACAGGAUGGUCCCAUGGCUAAAAUAAAGUCAAUAAUCAACCCUAAGAUAGAAACACAUCUACAUUUAUGGUAAGGUUAUAGUGAUUGGCUGUAGGAGCCACCAGGCAUCCAGCCAGUUUGCUUUUCCAGUCUAAGGAAAUGCUCCGUUUGUUUGAAAAAUUUUUUCCCCUGUGGUGAAGAAUGCAUUGACGUCAUCUAACUGGGUUUGCUGAACAAAAGCAUGGAUCCAGUGGUGCUCCAAGAAGCUGAAUUACAACAGGAAGGACAGGCAUCUGUUUUUAGAGUGGCAGGGGCUAUUCCUAAUUCUCCUUUAUCACUUUCUCCAGAGAACUGCUAGAGGGGACAAGUGACUUGCUACGAGUUUCGGUUUCCACCCUGUUUCAUUGCUAAUGUGGGUGUUCUUAGAUAAACACUAGCAUCUCUGGCUCCACAGGCCUCCGUAUCAGAUCACUAUUACUUCUAACAGGACCAUGCCAGAACUCCCUGAUCUGAUUUGAGGAGACACCAUGCAGCACCCUUACAAAAAAAGCCCACAGGAUAUUCAUAAACCUCUCCGAUCAUACGCUGCUUUCCCACUUCUGUGCUGUCGUAUCAGCUCCUCCACCCACAGAACAGGGGUGUUUGGGCCAAUACAGUGCCUUGCUACCACAUCAUCUGAAUCUGACCAAGAACCUUUCACUACACCGCUAACCCAGGUUAUUAUAAGUAGUAUCUUAGAAAGGGAGACGGGUAACCUCAAACUGUCAGAAUCUACCCAUAUCACACUGCAGCAAAACAGCCAUUAGUGACAGCAGGUACAGAUCAUUUCUGGUCUGCAAGACCAUAGAGGAAAGAGUACCAGCCGGUGGGUGGAGCAAGAUCACCAUUUCAGUGUUUCACAAAAGAUCUGGAAAACAAAGGGCAAAGCAUUCCACUGCAAAACUGUACUCAGCAAGAGCUGACGAUUUAAGGACUAAUGCCACCCCGACCAUUUCCCAACAGGGCUAUCUGAUGCUUGUGACAGUCACAAAGCGGAACACGUUUGAGCCACGGAUGAAGGAGGUGCAACAGAGCUGCGUGAGUAAUGGAUUACUCAGCCUAGAACUUGAACCAAAAGUCAAAACUAGGUUGUUCUGAACACAUAUGAGGGAGGGGAGAGGCAAAACAGAAAAGCAAAAUAAAACAAAAUGCAGAAAACAAGUGAAACAAAUUUACUCUAGUUUGGGCCUGAUAAUUAAGUGUUUGAGCUUUAUCCCCCCUUCCUUUAAACUUCAGGUUACUUACAAAACAUGAAUCACAUAACAAAAUGUUUAAUUUUAAAUAUCUCAAAACAUAUCUCCUAUAUUCUCUAUUUUCCUCCCUUUUCAGCCAAAUCAAGUUGUCCAAAAACAAUUUGUGUCCCCUAAUCCACAUUUUAGGGCAAACUUACCAUCUACUAAAAGACAGGGGAAUAGUCAACAUAUACAAGACAAGAAGAUGCAAAGCUAACAGGAGGACAAAUGUAGCGAGGAGUUCGUAACUCUUCUCAAAUUCAACCACUCCUGUAUUUAUUAUAUUAAGGUAUCCCAGUGUAAGUCUUCUGUGCAGCAAUAAUCUUCUAAUGUGUAUUGUAGGUCAAAGAAGAAUUUAGGUUUGAUGGAACCACUUUGGUUAAGUUACACUAUUCGUAAUUUAUAAUACUUACAUAAUUUGUAAAGUCAUAAUAUUGUGAUGGAGUCAGUUUGUCUCGGUGCAAGUAGGCUUCCGGAGAGGGAAGAAAAGGUGUGAUGCCAGUUAAGGCAUGAAUACAGAUUCCAGCUCAGCCACCCUCAAAGCCAGAACACUGUGGUUGUGCGUGUCCAAAAUAAUUUCUCUGGUG
This is a non-coding RNA of Phalacrocorax carbo (great cormorant), 7453 nucleotides long. NCBI's taxonomy places the organism in Eukaryota, Metazoa, Chordata, Aves, Suliformes, Phalacrocoracidae. The record is from RefSeq and is a predicted model, not a curated record.